RNAcentral lists this ribosomal RNA (492 nucleotides) under uncultured bacterium. RNAcentral's name for it is "partial 16S ribosomal RNA". It matches the Rfam family "Bacterial small subunit ribosomal RNA", at positions 29 to 507 of the family's 1533-position model. The record is from RNAcentral.
AGUGGACGCUGGCGGUAGGCCUAACACAUGCAAGUCGAACGGCAGCACAGUAAGAGCUUGCUCUUACGGGUGGCGAGUGGCGGACGGGUGAGGAAUACAUCGGAAUCUACUUUUUCGUGGGGGAUAACGUAGGGAAACUUACGCUAAUACCGCAUACGACCUACGGGUGAAAGCAGGGGAUCUUCGGACCUUGCGCGAUUGAAUGAGCCGAUGUCGGAUUAGCUAGUUGGCGGGGUAAAGGCCCACCAAGGCGACGAUCCGUAGCUGGUCUGAGAGGAUGAUCAGCCACACUGGAACUGAGACACGGUCCAGACUCCUACGGGAGGCAGCAGUGGGGAAUAUUGGACAAUGGGCGCAAGCCUGAUCCAGCCAUACCGCGUGGGUGAAGAAGGCCUUCGGGUUGUAAAGCCCUUUUGUUGGGAAAGAAAAGCAGCAGGUUAAUACCCCGCUGUUCUGACGGUACCCAAAGAAUAGGCACCGGCUAACUUCGUG